ACCAGCAGUUCAAGUUGCAUCCCUUUUUAUUGGGUCUAAAACAUCCGUAGCUUGCCGUUUAAGUCUCUUGUGAAAUCCUACGUCUCAAGCGUAGUGAAGUGCAGGAGAUACUGAACGGCUAGAGAUCGGUAGACGUAAGGAGUACGCCACGGGUAACGGUCAAAUGUGUUAAUCCGUGGUGGACUAACAAUGAGCGAAGGCACCUUACGAGGACGAAUCUGACAGUGAGGGAUGAAGGCCAGGGGCGCAAAACGG
RNAcentral lists this ribosomal RNA (255 nucleotides) under uncultured bacterium. Its description in RNAcentral is "partial 16S ribosomal RNA". It matches the Rfam family "Archaeal small subunit ribosomal RNA", at positions 475 to 727 of the family's 1478-position model. The record is from RNAcentral.